AUUAUAAAAUUUUAAGUUUACUUUCAUUAAAAAAUGAAACGUGUUUAUUGCGUGUUUUUUCGCAUGCCGUGCUUUAACCCGUCUCUAAUCGUGCCGUGUUUUUAAGGUCCACGUGCCUACAAUCUAAGCCCAGCACGACCCACGUGUGUGUCGUACCGUGCCGUACUGUACGGACACGUGCUGUGCCCGUGCCGUUCGGUCAUUGGCUACCUCUAUACCACACACAUUCAAAAUUAAUUAGAAAGGACAAUGUAGGGCACAAGCAAUCAAAUCAUCCCCAAAUAAUGCUUUAUCGAGCAUGCAAGUUGUGUCUGACCGUGUGUCAGAUAUGGUUAAUUAGGUUAUUCAUGCAUGCAAAUAUAUUAUUUUUCACAUGCCUUGUGAUUUUGCCUUCUGUCCUUUUGCAUAUCGGGUGCGGCGUUGUCACUCCAUUUUCUCACUUGAUAAACCACGGCUUAGGGUGUGUUUUAUGGCUCACCUUGCUGACGUUAUUGAUAAAUCUUUGCUGACGUUAUUGAUAAAUCCGAGUUGGAGUUGUUGAUUGUUGGUGAGGACGACUUUAGAAUAGGCUUUUAUUAUUUUAGUCUUUUGAUAUUUUUUAUUUUAUUUUAGUUAGUUCUUAUUAAUUAUGUGUUUAGGUUUUUUAUUAUAAUUUAAUUAUGAUUUAAUUUUUAUAUUUGAGUUAACUAGUAGAUUUAUCUUAUUAACAAUAAAGAGAUCUUAUUA
This 726-nucleotide long non-coding RNA is filed under the name Citrus x clementina. RNAcentral's name for it is "Citrus clementina (C. clementina) long non-coding RNA (CCLE_LNC002699)". The record is from RNAcentral. Lineage: Eukaryota; Viridiplantae; Streptophyta; Magnoliopsida; Sapindales; Rutaceae.